UGGGGAACAUAUUAUAUACAUACAUGUAAUUGGAGUCUAAAGUCACAAAAAAACCACCACUUAAAAUAUAAAAAAUAUUUAAUAUUAUUUGAGUGCAACUCUGCGGCGAUGACGCGCUGGUGACGACAUAAACCAAGAUGGCGGCGGCCCGGACUACAGCCGACAUUAUGUAAUAAAGCCUUAAAAGACAUGGAUAUAAUGAAAAGAGUGGAUGGACAGAUGCAUAAACAUGCAGACUUUCACACGGACACACACGGACUUAUUAAACACACACAAACUUAUUAAACACACACGGACUUAUUAAACACACACGGACCUCAGUAAACACGGUAAACGGAACAGGCUUCACCGCUCGGCUGGCACUAGGACCCAGAGGCAGAAUCCAAUACUUGACCGGUUUGAAUAUGAUAUGAAAAAAAGACAACAGCAGCAGUGCUAAAAAGGAGAGAGAGAAAGGCUGCUUCACAAUUGCAGAACGCCUUAAUGCUCAAAAAAUCCCUCUUUAGGAGUACAUGGGGUGGCCCACCCACCCAGGACCUGACCCCAGCAGAGGCCCUCGAUGUACAUCUGGAGCUUUUGGAGCUACCUGAUGACGAUCCUGGGGAAAGCACAUCUGCAGCUGAGGAGUGA
This 630-nucleotide long non-coding RNA is filed under the name Gouania willdenowi (blunt-snouted clingfish). RNAcentral's name for it is "lncRNA (ENSGWIG00000009255.1)". Lineage: Eukaryota; Metazoa; Chordata; Actinopteri; Blenniiformes; Gobiesocidae. The record is from RNAcentral.